GGAUAUAAAACUCUGUUGUUAGGGAAGAACAAGUGCCAUAGUAACUGAUGGCACCCUUACGGUACCUAACCAGAAAGCCACGGAUAACUACGUGCCAGCAGACGCGGUAAUACGUAGGUGGCAAGCGUUGUCCGGAAUUAUUGGGCGUAAAGCGCUCGCAGGCGGUUCUUUAAGUCUGAUGUGAAAUCUUACGGCUCAACCGUAAACGUGCAUUGGAAACUGGGGAACUUGAGUGCCGACGAGGAGAGUGGAAUUCCACGUGUAGCGGUGAACUGCGUAGAGAUGUGGAGGAACACCAGUGGCGAAGGCGACUCUCUGGUCUCGUAACUGACGCUGAGGAGCGACAGCGUGGGGAGCGAACAGGAUCUAGAUACCCUGGUUAGUCCACGCAGUAAACCGAUGAGUGCUACGUGUC
This 415-nucleotide ribosomal RNA is filed under the name uncultured bacterium. RNAcentral describes it as "bacterial SSU rRNA". It matches the Rfam family "Bacterial small subunit ribosomal RNA", at positions 421 to 824 of the family's 1533-position model. The record is from RNAcentral.